AUAGUAGCCUGACAGGCCAGACCCACAUCAAGAUGUUAGAUCUAGGAACUCACCAUUGGCAGGGCUCAAUCCGAGGGGCGGGAUCAACAGUUGUCUUUCAAAUUCCCUCUGAACGCAAUAGGAUAGCGCUCCACCCAACCAGAGCAACGCUGAAGGUAGCUGAGCU
Molecule: long non-coding RNA, 166 nt
Organism: Etheostoma cragini (Arkansas darter)
Lineage: Eukaryota; Metazoa; Chordata; Actinopteri; Perciformes; Percidae
Exons: 3
Source: RefSeq, a predicted model, not a curated record